GGGUUGUGAGGUUAAGCGACUAAGCGUACACGGUGGAUGCCCUGGCAGUCAGAGGCGAUGAAGGACGUGCUAAUCUGCGAUAAGCGCCGGUAAGGUGAUAUGAACCGUUAUAACCGGCGAUACCCGAAUGGGGAAACCCAGUGUGACUCGUCACACUAUCAUUAACUGAAUCCAUAGGUUAAUGAGGCGAACCGGGGGAACUGAAACAUCUAAGUACCCCGAGGAAAAGAAAUCAACCGAGAUUCCCCCAGUAGCGGCGAGCG
Molecule: ribosomal RNA, 263 nt
Filed under: Salmonella enterica subsp. enterica serovar Kentucky
Lineage: Bacteria; Pseudomonadati; Pseudomonadota; Gammaproteobacteria; Enterobacterales; Enterobacteriaceae
Description: partial 23S ribosomal RNA
Rfam family: Bacterial large subunit ribosomal RNA
Source: RNAcentral